GAGUUUGAUCCUGGCUCAGAUUGAACGCUGGCGGAAUGCUUUACACAUGCAAGUCGAACGGCAGCACGGGGGCAACCCUGGUGGCGAGUGGCGAACGGGUGAGUAAUACCUAGGAACAUGUCCAGUAAUGGGGGAUAACGCRGCGAAAGCUGUGCUAAUACCGCAUACGCCCUACGGGGGAAAGCGGGGGAUUCGCAAGGASCUCGSGCUCAUGGAGCGGCCGAUGUCGGAUUASCUAGUUGGCGGGGUAAAGGCCCACCAAGGCUACGAUCCGUAGCUGGUUUGAGAGAACGACCAGCCACACUGGGACUGARACACGGCCCAKACUCCUACGGGAGGCAGCAGUGGGGAAUUUUGGACAAUGGGCGAAAGCCUGAUCCAGCCAUUCCGCGUGAGUGAAGAAGGCCUUCGGGUUGUAAAGCUCUUUCGGCAGGAACGAAAUGGUCGCGGUUAAUAACCGUGACUUCUGACGGUACCUGAAGAAGAAGCACCGGCUAACUACGUGCCAGCAGCCGCGGUAAUAC
This 524-nucleotide ribosomal RNA is filed under the name uncultured Nitrosomonadaceae bacterium. Its description in RNAcentral is "bacterial SSU rRNA". It matches the Rfam family "Bacterial small subunit ribosomal RNA", at positions 9 to 526 of the family's 1533-position model. Lineage: Bacteria; Pseudomonadati; Pseudomonadota; Betaproteobacteria; Nitrosomonadales; Nitrosomonadaceae. The record is from RNAcentral.